Molecule: transfer RNA, 68 nt
Filed under: Crioceris duodecimpunctata (spotted asparagus beetle)
Lineage: Eukaryota; Metazoa; Arthropoda; Insecta; Coleoptera; Chrysomelidae
Description: tRNA-Pro
Source: RNAcentral
CAUAGGAUAGUUUAAUUAUAAAAAUUUUAAUUUUGGAGAUUAAAGAUAAAGAAUUUCUUUUCCUUUGA